UUAUUCUAAAGUUGUCCCUAGUCGGAGUUCAUGUGAGGACACACAUGAAUAUUAGACUAGUAAAUGUAUUAGUUGAUGACUAUGUUCCACAAGUCAUGGACAUGGAGAUGUCAAACUAAUAAUGUGGGCACGUGUAGAGACAUGUGCUAGGAUUGACCCAACACGAGAGGUAGUUAUGUAGUUUUCUCUUUACAUAACGUGUACGCUUUGUCCUUAGACCUAAAAUUAUCACAUGCACUCAAGAUGUGGAUCAACUUACUUAGGAGUUGUCAAACGCUACUCCAUAACUGGGUAGUUAUAAAGGUAGCUUUCAGGUUUGUCAGGAAGCAUGCUGUGAGGCAUGGUCAGUCAAGAUGGAAUUUUCCCCUCUCUACUUGAAAGAGAUAUCUCUGGGCCCCUCGAGUGAUCGGACCUAGAAAUGCAUGGCCGUGCUGCGUAAGGUUAAGGGUUAACCUAGGAAGGGAUUUCGAAUCACAGGAUCAAAAAAGAGAGGUCGGCUUGGAGCUAGACCAAAUAUCGUGAGGCAAAGGGAAUAGCAUGUACGUGAUGUUUUGAUGGUUCAUCUGAUAUGAUUUUCGUGUGCGUAUAGGAGUUGGCAUGUCUUGCUAGAGGCUGCUACCAACUAUUGUCCAAGUAGGAGUACUUGCGUCAUGUCUAUACGUAUAUGAACCUUUAGGGUCGCACACUUAAGGGGCUGGAAGCCCAAUGAGGAUAUGAUCUGAAUUGGACCAGGUUUAGGAGUACUAAUGGGCCUCGAAUCCAGAGGCCCGUUAGGGACCCCUAUAUAUAUUGAGGGGUAGGGGCGGCUUGGGGUUAAUCUUUUUUGUCGAGCAGCAGCCGCACCUCCCAUGCCCUCACCUAGUUACACUCGCGGAUCAAGCAGUCCGGUUUGCGACCCUUCCUCCCCGCACGUGUGGAUACCUUGGAGGUGUUGCAUCUACAGCACUUGGAUGAGCCGUUGCACGAGGAGCCGUACACCUGACGUGGAGCACUUGGACGAGCCGCUGCAUGAGGAGCUGCACACUUGAUGUAGAGGUCCCGUGAUCCAUAAACAACAGUAUUCCAGGUUUACGCGUUAGAAAAAUUUUGUUUGCGCUAGUGUAGCCUACCUCGUAGUCCUUCAGUGGUAUCAGAGCCAUGGCUGUUAAUUUAUGGAUUCGGGAAAUGUGCAUAUGCAGAUAUGCGGUUUUUCAGAUUGAUCUAUGAUCUGGUUUCAUGUUCUUGCUGCAAUGGUCGUGUAAUGACAUACUCCUACCGGUCGGAAUUUCGCCAUUGGAAUUAAGUGAUACACGUAAUGCUAGUUGCAGCAAGCAAAGAUCAAUAUGAUCAGUCGAAUUGAAACCUAGGUUCAUACGCUAGGUGCAUAUGAUGUGCAGUAGUGGAUUGGAUCUACUAUCGGAUCGGAUCAUUUAUCGUGGCCAUGUUUUUCGGUAAAACGGACGUAACUUUUUGGUACAAUCUCGGAUCGAGGCUAAUUUUAUAUCAAAAUUCAUCUACAGAAAAAGUUACACAUGAAAUUGAACCGCUUUGCCAUUUUUGGCAAAAUUAGAUUUCCCAAAUUCAGUUUGAAAGAUGGAGUUUUUGGCCUUUUAAGUUUGGAUGUUAGAAAGCCUAACUCUAUUUUGCAGGAUUUUGUGAUUAGUAUGGCCCCUGUAUAUGUGAUGCAUGUGUGUAACUGAUUCGUGACCAGCGUGUCAUGCGUAUGGCAAUACGGCUGGAGCCAGAUGUAUUGUCAAAUUAAUGUAAUUAAUGGCCUGCGUGCUAAUUUGUGAUGAUCCAGGCAACUAUGUAUCCUUUUUACUAGCUGAUUAGAUGUAAUAGCGUGUACUAGUUCUUGAAGGACUCAUCACUAAGAGGAUAGAGCACAUGGAUCAAGGAGAUGGAGAUCAUCAUGGUGAACAGGUUCUAUGGAGAUGGAGAUGACCACUAGAAAUCAGGCCAUCCUGUGUCACAACUGUGUGAUGCUAUUCUUUUUAUUUUACUCCUACAUGUUGUGAUGUCAGAAGUAGAACGAUCCCUUGCAAAAUUUGAGUUACUUGCACCAUCCCAUGUCUUGUACAAUUGGUGGUGGGUCUAUGAACUUAGAGUACCACUAGUUUUUCUUGACUAGACGGGUUUGUAUCGGAUACUCACACGCAUAAGGGUUGGUUUGCUUAACAAGGUCAUCUUAACAGUUAAUGACCUUGGAGCAUGAAGGUUGGGCGCCGAGACAUGGAGAUGUCACCUAACAACAGGAGUCAUAUAUGAUAUGAUUAGCAAAUAGUUGCUUACCGAUCUACCUUGUCUGCUAGCGGUGAUGCUAAAGCUAACUAGUAGACUUGUUAGUUGUGGAUCUUGAAUCACUAAGUAUCAUAGAGGGAUAUUGAUUUUAGUGGGAGUAGAUUCUGUUAAAAGUUUAAUGUGAUUUGCUCUAUCAUGGAUGCUUUUGUCUAAGUAUUUUGCAUUACUAAUUUGUUGUAGAUAAAUGGCACAUAGCAACACCACAUCGUUUGCUUUGCGUUCAAUCCUUGAGAAGGACAAGUUGAAUGGGACAAACUAUAUGAAUUGGAUCCAUAACCUGAAAAUUGUUCUCAGGGCUGAGAAAAAAGAAGAUGUUCUGGACACCCUAUUACCAGAAGAACCUGCUGAUGAUGCACCUGUUGCCGUUAAGAAUGCUUACAAGAAGCAUGUGAUGCUAAUCUCGAAGGAACCUGCCUUAUGCUUGCUUGCAUGGAACCUGAGCUGCAGAUGCAGUUUGAAACAAACCAUGAGGCAUACGAUAUGAUCGUGGUGCUUAGAGAAAUGUUCCAAACACAGGCUAGGAUUGAAAGGUUCAAUGUAUCUAAGGCUUUUGUGGAGAGCAAGCUAGCAGAAGGCGCAGCAGUAGGACCACACGUAAUCAAGAUGGUUGGUUACACUCAACGGCUGGAGAAGCUGGGCUUCCCACUGGGUCAAGAGUUGGCCACUGAUUUCAUUCUUUCGUCUCUUCCAUUUAGCUAUGAGAACUUCAUCUCGAACUACCAUAUGCAUGGGGUGGAGAAGAGUUUGAAUGAACUGUGUGGCAUGCUUAAAACAGCAGAGAGUGACAUUAAGAAAAGUGCUGGUAGCAGCCAUGUGAUGGCAAUACAGAACAAGCCUAGCUUUAAGAAGAAGGGCGAUUCUUGGAAGAAUAAGCCUGUGAUCUCCAAGCCAAACCCAGCGCCCAAGGUUAAAGCUGGACCUGCUCUAGACAAAGAGUGCAUUUAUUGUCACGAACUUGGUCGCUGGAAGAGAAAUUGCAAGCAGUAACUAGCUUCGUUGAAGAAUGGCAGAAGUAAGAGUACUUCCACCUCAGGUGCUCUUGUUAUCAAUGUUAUAGAUAACAUAUUUCUCACAGAUACAAUUAUUAAUUCUUGGGUAUUUGAUACCGGAUCGGUUGCUCAUAUUUGCAAUUCGAUGUAGGGACUGAUAAGAAGUAGAAGCGUGGAAAGAGGAGAAGUUGAUUUCUGCGUGGGCAAUAAUGCUAGAGUUGCUGCGUUGACUGUCGGGAUGAUGCAACUCCACCUCCCGUCAGGAUUUAUUAUUGAGUUGAAUAAUUGUUAUUUCAUUACUAGUUUAAGUUAAAACAUUAUGUCUCCUUCAUGCUUGAUGAAGGAUGAUUAUUCAUUUUCGAGUGAAAACAAUGGUUGUGUGAUCUCUAAGAAUAAUAUGUUUAUGGCUUUUUCACCCAUUGUGAAUGGAUUGUUUGUUUUAAGUCUUGAUGAUCCACUUGUCUAUAAUAUAAGUGCUAAAAGGCCUCGGCCUACUGAUUUGGGUCCUACCUACAUGUGGCAUUGUCGUUUGGGUCAUAUAAGUGAAAUGCGCAUGAAGAAGCUCCAUUCUGAUGGACUUUUAACUUUGUUUGAUUUUGAAUCAUAUGAGACAUGUGAUGCUAGCUUGCUAGGCAAGAUGACCAAGGCGCCUUUCAUAGGUUUUCCUGAGAGAGCAUUAGACUUGUUGGAACUCGUACAUACCGAUGUAUGCGGACCAAUGAGCGCAACAACUAGAGGAGGGUUCCGAUAUGAAACUUUCACUGAUGAUUCUAGUAGAUAUGGCUAUGUCUACUUGAUGAGGCACAAGUCCAAAACCUUUGAAAAGUUCAAGGAAUUUCAAAAUGAAGUUGAAAAUCAGCGUGGCAAGAAAAUUAAGGCCUUACGAUCUGAUCGCAGAGGCGAGUAUUUAAGCCACGAGUUUAGCAAUCAUUUGAAGAGUUGCAGAAUUGUUCCACAGCUUACGCCGCCUGGAACACCUUAGAGAAACGGUGUAUCCGAGCGACGUAAUCAAACCUUGUUGGACAUGGUCGAUCAAUGAUGAGCCAGUCGGACCUACCGUUAUCAUUUUGGGGAUACGCUCUAGAAACAGCAGCUUUCACACUUAAUAGGGUACCAUCUAAAUCCGUAGUUAAGACACCAUAUGAAAUGUCGAUUGGGAAGACUCCCAGUUUGUCGUUUCUAAAGAUUUGGGGAUGUGAAGUGUUUGUCAAGCGACUUCAGUCGGACAAGAUAACACCCAAGCGACUUUAGGAUAUUAAUUCUACAACCGACUAGAGGGCAAAGUGUUUGUCACUCGGAAUGGUGUUUUCCUAGAGAAAGAGUUUCUCAAAGGGGAGAAGAAUGGAAAGAUAGUGCGUCUUGAAAAAGUUCGGGAUGAGCCAAUCAGGCAAGAAUCAAUGAGUGAUGCUAACAUAGCUAAACAAGUUGAGAUACCCACGGUAAGAGAGGCACCACCAUAACCACGAAGGUCGGCAAGGCUCCGCGAAAUGCGGGAAAUAUUAUUGUUGGACAAUGAUGAGCCUGCGACAUAUGCAGAAGCAAUGAUGGACCCAGACUCUGAUAAAUGGCAGAAUGCCAUGCAAUCCAAAAUAGAGUCCAUGGGAGACAAUCAAGUUUGGAACUUGGUUGACCCACUUGAUGGUGUUAAAGCCAUGGAGUGCAAGUGGAUCUAUAAGAAGAAAAAAGACAUGGAUGGAAAUGUUCACAUCUAUAAAGCACGACUUGUCGCAAAAGGUUUUUGACAAGUUCGAGGAGUUGACUACGACGAGACCUUCUUGCCCGUAGUGAUGCUUAAAUCUAUUCGAAUUAUUCUAGCUAUAGUUGCAUAUUUCGAUUAUGAGAUAUGGCAGAUGGAUGUCAAGAUAGCUUUCCUGAAUUGAAAUCUAACUGAAGACGUGUAUAUGAUGCAGCCUGAGGGUUUUGUCAAUCCGAACAAUGCUGGAAAGGUAUGCAAACUUCACACAUCCAUUUCUGGGUUGAAGCAAGCAUCCAGGAGUUGGAACAUUCGUUUUGGUGAAGUGGUCAAAGGGUUCGGCUUGAUUAAGAAUGGAGAAGAGGCUUGUGUUUACAAGAAGGUUAGUGGGAGCUCUGUAGUAUUUCUGAUCUUAUAUGUGGAUGACAUAUUACAGAUUGGAAACAACAUUCCUAUGCUUGAGUUUGUCAAGACCUCACUGAAAAAUAGUUUUUCGAUGAAGGACUUAGGGGAAGGCUUAUAGGAUUAAGCCAAGAUACUUACAUUGACAAAGUGUUGAAAUAGUUCAGCAUGGAAGAGGCAAGGAAAGGGUUCUUGCCUAUGUGACAUGGCAUACACCUUAGCAAGACUCACUGUCCUUCGACAACUGAUGAGCGGGAUCGCAUGAGUAGAGUGCCAUAUGCUUCGGCUAUCGGAUCUAUCAUGUAUACAAUGAUAAGUACCCGCCCAUAUUUUCAUAUGCUCUAAGUAUGACAAGGAGACACCAGUCUGAUCUGGGUGAGAGUCACUGGACGGCAGUGAAAAACAUUAUUAAGUACUUCAGAAGGACUAAAGUUGUGUUCCUCGUCUAUGGAGGUGAGAAGGAGCUCAUUGUAACAGGUUACACCGGUGCUAGUUUCCAAUCGGACAAAGACGAUUCAAAGUCACAAUCAGGAUUGGUGUUUACAAUAAAUGGUAGAGCUAUUAGCUAGAAGAGUUCCAAGCAAGAGAUAAUGGUUGAUUCUACGAUAGAAGCUGAGUACAUCGCGGCUUCAGCAGCCACAAAGGAGGGUGUUUGGAUAAGGAAUUUCCUUAUUGAGCUUGGUGUGUUCCCGAAUGCGUCCAGCCCAUCGAAUCUCUACUGUGAUAACAAUGGGGCUAUUGUGCGAGCAAAGGAGCCAAGGAAUCACCAGAAGAACAAACACAUAAUAUGGUGAUUUCAUCUCAUUUGAGACUUCGUUAACCAGGGUAAGAUCAAGAUAUGCAAAAUACGCACAGAUUUGAAUAUUUCUGAUCCUUUGACAAAGCCUCUCCUGCAAUCUAAGCAUGAUGCGGACACAAGAGCCUAGUUAGAGUUCAUGUGAGGACACACAUGAAUAUUAGACUAUUACAUGUAUUAGUUGAUGACUAGGUUUCACAAGUCAUGGACAUGGAGAUGUCAAACUAAUAAUGUGGGCACGUGUAGAGACAUGUGCUAGGACUGACCCAACACGAGACGUAGUUACAUAGUUCUCUCUUUACACAAUGUGUACGCUUUGUC
This 6481-nucleotide long non-coding RNA is filed under the name Setaria viridis. Its description in RNAcentral is "long non-coding RNA (SVIR_LNC003443)". Lineage: Eukaryota; Viridiplantae; Streptophyta; Magnoliopsida; Poales; Poaceae. The record is from RNAcentral.